GAUAAACGCUGGCGGCGUGCCUAAUACAUGCAAGUCGAGCGAACGGACGAGAAGCUUGCUUCUCUGAUGUUAGCGGCGGACGGGUGAGUAACACGUGGAUAACCUACCUAUAAGACUGGGAUAACUUCGGGAAACCGGAGCUAAUACCGGAUAAUAUUUUGAACCGCAUGGUUCAAAAGUGAAAGACGGUCUUGCUGUCACUUAUAGAUGGAUCCGCGCUGCAUUAGCUAGUUGGUAAGGUAACGGCUUACCAAGGCAACGAUGCAUAGCCGACCUGAGAGGGCGAUCGGCCACACUGGAACUGAGACACGGUCCAGACUCCUACGGGAGGCAGCAGUAGGGAAUCUUCCGCAAUGGGCGAAAGCCUGACGGAGCAACGCCGCGUGAGUGAUGAAGGUCUUCGGAUCGUAAAACUCUGUUAUUAGGGAAGAACAUAUGUGUAAGUAACUGUGCACAUCUUGACGGUACCUAAUCAGAAAGCCACGGCUAACUACGUGCCAGCAGCCGCGGUAAUACGUAGGUGGCAAGCGUUAUCCGGAAUUAUUGGGCGUAAAGCGCGCGUAGGCGGUUUUUUAAGUCUGAUGUGAAAGCCCACGGCUCAACCGUGGAGGGUCAUUGGAAACUGGAAAACUUGAGUGCAGAAGAGGAAAGUGGAAUUCCAUGUGUAGCGGUGAAAUGCGCAGAGAUAUGGAGGAACACCAGUGGCGAAGGCGACUUUCUGGUCUGUAACUGACGCUGAUGUGCGAAAGCGUGGGGAUCAAACAGGAUUAGAUACCCUGGUAGUCCACGCCGUAAACGAUGAGUGCUAAGUGUUAGGGGGUUUCCGCCCCUUAGUGCUGCAGCUAACGCAUUAAGCACUCCGCCUGGGGAGUACGACCGCAAGGUUGAAACUCAAAGGAAUUGACGGGGACCCGCACAAGCGGUGGAGCAUGUGGUUUAAUUCGAAGCAACGCGAAGAACCUUACCAAAUCUUGACAUCCUUUGACAACUCUAGAGAUAGAGCCUUCCCCUUCGGGGGACAAAGUGACAGGUGGUGCAUGGUUGUCGUCAGCUCGUGUCGUGAGAUGUUGGGUUAAGUCCCGCAACGAGCGCAACCCUUAAGCUUAGUUGCCAUCAUUAAGUUGGGCACUCUAAGUUGACUGCCGGUGACAAACCGGAGGAAGGUGGGGGUGACGUCAAAUCAUCAUGCCCCUUAUGAUUUGGGCUACACACGUGCUACAAUGGACAAUACAAAGGGCAGCGAAACCGCGAGGUCAAGCAAAUCCCAUAAAGUUGUUCUCAGUUCGGAUUGUAGUCUGCAACUCGACUACAUGAAGCUGGAAUCGCUAGUAAUCGUAGAUCAGCAUGCUACGGUGAAUACGUUCCCGGGUCU
Molecule: ribosomal RNA, 1372 nt
Filed under: uncultured bacterium
Lineage: Bacteria
Description: bacterial SSU rRNA
Rfam family: Bacterial small subunit ribosomal RNA
Source: RNAcentral